Molecule: ribosomal RNA, 420 nt
Filed under: uncultured bacterium
Lineage: Bacteria
Description: bacterial SSU rRNA
Rfam family: Bacterial small subunit ribosomal RNA
Source: RNAcentral
UGGGGAAUAUUGCACAAUGGGGAAAGCCCUGAUGCAGCGACGCCGCGUGAAGGAAGAAGUAUCUCGGUAUGUAAACUUCUAUCAGCAGGAAAGAAAAUGACGGUACCUGACUAAGAAGCCCCGGCUAACUACGUGCCAGCAGCCGCGGUAAUACGUAGGGGGCAAGCGUUAUCCGGAUUUACUGGGUGUAAAGGGAGCGUAGACGGAGCAGCAAGUCUGAUGUGAAAGGCGGGGGCUCAACCCCGGCAGCAUCGCAUUGGGAAAACUGUUGAUCUUGAGUACCGGAGAGGUAAGCGGAAUUCCUAGUGUAGCGGUGAAAUGCGUAGAUAUUAGGAGGAACACCAGUGGCGAAGGCGGCUUACUGGACGGUAACUGACGUUGAGGCUCGAAAGCGUGGGGAGCAAACAGGAUUAGAUACCC